Chiroxiphia lanceolata (lance-tailed manakin) is the source of this 290-nucleotide long non-coding RNA. RefSeq lists it as uncharacterized. The record is from RefSeq and is a predicted model, not a curated record. The transcript has 3 exons. NCBI's taxonomy places the organism in Eukaryota, Metazoa, Chordata, Aves, Passeriformes, Pipridae.
GCUGCCAUAAGGUCUCCCUGCCUCAAGGCUAAGCAGCAGGAAUUGAUGUUUGUUCCUGUCAAUUGUCAGCAAGCCCUGAGGUCUUCUCUAGAGCCCAGAGUAAAACCUUCCUGCUUCUGCAGCCUGCAGUCUAGAGCCUUUUGGUCCAGACAACAGAGCAAAAUACCCUUCUUGUCAAAGUUAUGAGAAAGACUCCAGAGUCUCCAGGGAACCCGAAUCUUACCCUGGUAGAUGAGGUGUGAGCUGAGGUCAAACUGGAGCACAGGAUGCUUGAAUCUACUGAGAGCUGU